AGAACGAACGCUGGCGGCAUGCCUAACACAUGCAAGUCGAACGUGAUCCAGGCUUCGGCCUGGUGAAAGUGGCAGACGGGUGAGUAACGCGUGGGAACCUGCCCUGUGGUAGGGAAUAACCGUGGGAAACUGCGGCUAAUACCCUAUGAGUCCUUCGGGAGAAAGAUUUAUCGCCAUAGGAGGGGCCCGCGUCGGAUUAGGUAGUUGGUGGGGUAACGGCCUACCAAGCCUUCGAUCCGUAGCUGGUCUGAGAGGAUGAUCAGCCACACUGGGACUGAGAUACGGCCCAGACUCCUACGGGAGGCAGCAGUGGGGAAUAUUGGACAAUGGGGGCAACCCUGAUCCAGCAAUGCCGCGUGGAUGAUGAAGGCCUUCGGGUUGUAAAGUCCUUUCGGCGGGGAAGAUGAUGACGGUACCGCAGAAGAAGCCACGGCUAACUUCGUGCCAGCAGCCGC
RNAcentral lists this ribosomal RNA (455 nucleotides) under uncultured bacterium. RNAcentral's name for it is "SSU rRNA". It matches the Rfam family "Bacterial small subunit ribosomal RNA", at positions 26 to 518 of the family's 1533-position model. The record is from RNAcentral.